AUUGAACGCUGGCGGCAUGCCUUACACAUGCAAGUCGAACGGCAGCACGGACUUCGGUCUGGUGGCGAGUGGCGAACGGGUGAGUAAUGUAUCGGAACGUACCUUUCAGUGGGGGAUAACGUAGCGAAAGUUACGCUAAUACCGCAUAUUCUGUGAGCAGGAAAGCAGGGGAUCGCAAGACCUUGCGCUGAUUGAGCGGCCGAUAUCAGAUUAGCUAGUUGGUGGGGUAAAGGCCUACCAAGGCUACGAUCUGGAGCGGGUCUGAGAGGAUGAUCCGCCACACUGGAACUGAGACACGGUCCAGACUCCUACGGGAGGCAGCAGUGGGGAAUUUUGGACAAUGGGGGCAACCCUGAUCCAGCCAUGCCGCGUGAGUGAAGAAGGCCUUCGGGUUGUAAAGCUCUUUCGGCCGGGAAGAAAUCGCAUAGGCUAAUACCCUGUGUGGAUGACGGUACCGGAAUAAGAAGCACCGGCUAACUACGUGCCAGCCGCCGCAGUAA
This 500-nucleotide ribosomal RNA is filed under the name uncultured bacterium. Its description in RNAcentral is "partial 16S ribosomal RNA". It matches the Rfam family "Bacterial small subunit ribosomal RNA", at positions 30 to 523 of the family's 1533-position model. The record is from RNAcentral.